RNAcentral lists this long non-coding RNA (1382 nucleotides) under Erythranthe guttata (spotted monkey flower). Its description in RNAcentral is "long non-coding RNA (EGUT_LNC003203)". Lineage: Eukaryota; Viridiplantae; Streptophyta; Magnoliopsida; Lamiales; Phrymaceae. The record is from RNAcentral.
GAUACGAUAUAUAUUUAAUAUAUCGUAUAUUUAUUCAUUAGUUAUUAUUUAAUUAUUUAAUAUAUAUUAUUUAAGUAUUAAUUUAGUUAGAGCCGUAGGUUUAAUGAUUAUAGGAUAGAUAUUAAGUAUUUUAUUAGUUUAGGUAAUUAUCUUUCCUAGUUAGAUUAUGAUUCUAGGGUUUUAUUCUCUUUAAAUAGUCGUCUUGUGCUAGGGUUUUAUUAUGAAGAGAAAUAAUAAAGAAGAGUUUUCUUACGUUUCGUAAAGAAAUCUUAUGAUACACAAGAGAUCGUAUCAAUUGGUAUCAAAGCGAAGUUGCGAUAACACCAACGCUUCGUUAGCAAAGCAGAGAUUAUAUCAAAGCUAAGCUGGAGCAAAGUUGAGAUCACAUCAAAACUUUGUGAAAAUCAUGAUGUCCGAAACAAGACGGUUAGAGCGAUUGGAGAAAUCCGUAGAGAGAUUACGGAUUGAUUUUCAGAAAUUGCUCGAACAAAGUCACAGACGACGUCAACACCAACACAAAAGUCGAAGGGACCGCCGCCCAUUACCGCCAACGCCACCGCCGCUGCCGCUGCCGAGUCUAUCGCCGGAGGAAGAGGAAGAGGACGACGAUGAAUUUUUCAAAGAGCCACCGCCGCCGCCGCUGCAGAGCCUAUCGCCGGAAGAAGAGGAAGAGUACGACGAUGACUUUUUCGAAGAACUCCAAUUUUUUGUGAGUUCGCCAGAAGAAGAGGAAUCAGAUUCAACUGAGAUGAAGUGGGACGAAGAGCCGAAAGAAGAAGAAUCGGAGUCAACCGAGAUAAAGUGGGACGAAGACGAGAAAUUAACCAGAGAGGAGAGCGAAGAGUUACUAUGGAUAUUGGGAGAUUUCCAUGGUGUUCAAAAGAAAGGAGAAGAAGAAACCGAUGGUCAGUUUGGAGGAGACAAAAUCUACAAAGACGAUUGAAAAAGUUUAUGUAUCGGGAAAAAGAUUGAAUAUUUUCGCUAAAGUAGCCUUUGGAAUUUCGAUGGAUCAGCAUGAACAAUGUAUUAAAAAGCUCGGUCGUUCAUCGUGUUUUUCGGAGUCAAUCGUGAAGCAAGUCAAUGAAGUCAAACAUAGGUGGAAACGCAAAGGAGAGGGAUCAAAUUGACUCGAACCUUGAGGACAAGGUUCAUUUCAAGAGGGGUGGUUUGAUACGAUAUAUAUUUAAUAUAUCGUAUAUUUAUUCAUUAGUUAUUAUUUAAUUAUUUAAUAUAUAUUAUUUAAGUAUUAAUUUAGUUAGAGCCGUAGGUUUAAUGAUUAUAGGAUAGAUAUUAAGUAUUUUAUUAGUUUAGGUAAUUAUCUUUCCUAGUUAGAUUAGGAUUCUAGGGUUUUAUUCUCUUUAAAUAGUCGUCUUGUGCUAGGG